This 420-nucleotide ribosomal RNA is filed under the name Diacronema lutheri. RNAcentral's name for it is "SSU rRNA". It matches the Rfam family "Eukaryotic small subunit ribosomal RNA", at positions 567 to 990 of the family's 1831-position model. The record is from RNAcentral. Lineage: Eukaryota; Haptophyta; Pavlovophyceae; Pavlovales; Pavlovaceae.
CCAGCAGCCGCGGUAAUUCCAGCUCCAAUAGCGUAUAUUAAAGUUGUUGCAGUUAAAAAGCUCGUAGUCGGAUUUCGGGCUGGUCGUGCGGGUCUGCCGUUGGGUAUGUACUUGCGUCGUCCGGUCAGUAUGGCGUAGGUGCGUCGCCUCGUUGAUUCGUGUGCGUCGUUCUCUGCGCCCGUUUACUUUGAGAAAAUCAGAGUGUUCAAAGCAGGCCUUUGCCAUUGUAUGUGUUAGCAUGGGAUAAUGGAAUAGGACCUUGGUGCUAUUUUGUUGGUUUCGAACGCCGAGGUAAUGAUGAAUAGGGACAGUCAGGGGCACUCGUAUUCCGUAGAGAGAGGUGAAAUUCUUAGACCCACGGAAGACGCACUACUGCGAAAGCAUUUGCCAGGGAUGUUUUCACUGAUCAAGAACGAAAGU